Molecule: non-coding RNA, 45 nt
Organism: Schistosoma rodhaini
Lineage: Eukaryota; Metazoa; Platyhelminthes; Trematoda; Strigeidida; Schistosomatidae
Source: Rfam
AUCCAGCUGACGGGUCUCGAAUAGGACGAAACGCGCGUCGUGGAU